UGUGAAGAUGCAGUGUACCCGCGGCAAGACGGAAAGACCCCGUGAACCUUUACUAUAGCUUGACACUGAACAUUGAGCCUUGAUGUGUAGGAUAGGUGGGAGGCUUUGAAGUGUGGACGCCAGUCUGCAUGGAGCCGACCUUGAAAUACCACCCUUUAAUGUUUGAUGUUCUAACGUGGACCCGUUACCCGGGUUGCGGACAGUGUCUGGUGGGUAGUUUGACUGGGGCGGUCUCCUCCUAAAGAGUAACGGAGGAGCACGAAGGUUGGCUAAUCCUGGUCGGACAUCAGGAGGUUAGUGCAAUGGCAUAAGCCAGCUUGACUGCGAGCGUGACGGCGCGAGCAGGUGCGAAAGCAGGUCAUAGUGAUCCGGUGGUUCUGAAUGGAAGGGCCAUCGCUCAACGGAUAAAAGGUACUCCGGGGAUAACAGGCUGAUACCGCCCAAGAGUUCAUAUCGACGGCGGUGUUUGGCACCUCGAUGUCGGCUCAUCACAUCCUGGGGCUGAAGUAGGUCCCAAGGGUAUGGCUGUUCGCCAUUUAAAGUGGUACGCGAGCUGGGUUUAGAACGUCGUGAGACAGUUCGGUCCCUAUCUGCCGUGGGCGCUGGAGAACUGAGGGGGGCUGCUCCUAGUACGAGAGGACCGGAGUGGACGCAUCACUGGUGUUCGGGUUGUCAUGCCAAUGGCACUGCCCGGUAGCUAAAUGCGGAAGAGAUAAGUGCUGAAAGCAUCUAAGCACGAAACUUGCCCCGA
Molecule: ribosomal RNA, 751 nt
Filed under: Salmonella enterica subsp. enterica serovar Saintpaul
Lineage: Bacteria; Pseudomonadati; Pseudomonadota; Gammaproteobacteria; Enterobacterales; Enterobacteriaceae
Also listed under: 1 other name
Description: partial 23S ribosomal RNA
Rfam family: Bacterial large subunit ribosomal RNA
Source: RNAcentral